Molecule: ribosomal RNA, 155 nt
Filed under: Cylindrocarpon sp. HWE-05
Lineage: Eukaryota; Fungi; Ascomycota; Sordariomycetes; Hypocreales; Nectriaceae
Description: 5.8S ribosomal RNA
Rfam family: 5.8S ribosomal RNA (bases 26-155)
About the family: 5.8S ribosomal RNA (5.8S rRNA) is a component of the large subunit of the eukaryotic ribosome. It is transcribed by RNA polymerase I as part of the 45S precursor that also contains 18S and 28S rRNA. Functionally, it is thought that 5.8S rRNA may be involved in ribosome translocation.
Source: RNAcentral
CUGAGUAACCGAUUAAAUAAAUCAAAACUUUCAACAACGGAUCUCUUGGUUCUGGCAUCGAUGAAGAACGCAGCGAAAUGCGAUAAGUAAUGUGAAUUGCAGAAUUCAGUGAAUCAUCGAAUCUUUGAACGCACAUUGCGCCCGCUAGUAUUCUG